Molecule: ribosomal RNA, 957 nt
Filed under: Odoiporus longicollis (banana stem weevil)
Lineage: Eukaryota; Metazoa; Arthropoda; Insecta; Coleoptera; Curculionidae
Description: eukaryotic LSU rRNA
Rfam family: Eukaryotic large subunit ribosomal RNA (bases 574-957)
Source: RNAcentral
CAUGAACAUCGACAUUUCGAACGCACAUUGCGGUCCUGGGAUUCCAUUCCCGGACCACUCCUGGCUGAGGGUCGUAUCUAUUUAAAAGACUGCUCGGUUUUCGAUCGUCAUCAUCGUCGUCGUCGUCGUCUUUUCGACGAGGAGACUGGUGGUGAUUGGUCGAUUACGUCGGAGCGUGUUGGAUGUACGACGCGAAAGAAAGAGGAGAGGAGGUGGUGGCGAAUUUACUUCUCCUCCUCCGUUCUCUUUCUCCCUCUCUCUCAUUCGCGACAUCUCAAAACGUGAAUACACGUUCACGUUCAUAUUACGUUUAUCGAAAUGUGAACGUGUAGAGUGUAACCGCGAUUCGAGCGGGGCUUUAUUAAAUACGUCGUCGCCUAUGUAUUAUACUAUAGUCGUCAAUACGUGUUUAUCGUAUAGUCUUGGAGCGCGCGCGCGCGCUCGUGCCGGUCGACGUGUCCGAUAUUAUUCUUUUUGUAAUAUAAAGGAAAUCGACGUCUGAACCGGCAAUGAUGAUGCCGUCGCCAACGAUCGACACGCGUUAUAGAUUUAUAUCUAUAUAUUUCUAUCUAUCGACCUCAGAGCAGGUGAGACUACCCGCUGAAUUUAAGCAUAUUACUAAGCGGAGGAAAAGAAACUAACUAGGAUUCCCUCAGUAGCUGCGAGCGAACAGGGAAGAGCCCAGCACCGAAUCCCGCGGCCGACAUCGGGCGCCGGGAAAUGUGGUGUUCGGGAGGGUCCGUUAUCUCGAUGUCAUGCGACGCGUCCAAGUCCUUCUUGAACGGGGCCCCAACCCAUAGAGGGUGCCAGGCCCGUAGUGACCGUUGCUGAUGGCGGGAGGAUCUCUCCUUAGAGUCGGGUUGCUUGAGAGUGCAGCCCUAAGUGGGUGGUAAACUCCAUCUAAGGCUAAAUAUAACCACGAGACCGAUAGCGAACAAGUACCGUGAGGGAAAGUUG